AGAUAUGAGAGCUCAAGGUCACUCUUGUCGACUAACUCUAGCAGACUACUGAAGUCCUGGAAGGUUUCUGAUUAUAAAGAGAGAGUUGGCAUCUUUGAAUGCAUCGUUUCUAAUUGGCUAAGGAGGUAUGUAUAACAAGAGCAAUGUGUGUACAGAAUUCGAAUAGUUUCACUUCUGAAGAAUCUACUACAAUGUACUAAGGAGGUGAAAGUUGGCGUUGUGGCAUCAUUUAGGACAUGCAAUAAUUAAAGAGUUGCAGACUUUCUCUUAAGGUAUGUAUAACAAGAGCAAUGUGUAUACAGAAUUCAAAUAGUUUUCACUCCUGAAGAAUCUACUACACUGUGCUAGAGAGGUGAAAGUUGGCGUUGUGGCAUGUCAUAUGACACGCAGUAAUUAAAGUGUUGCAGACUUUCUUUCAGGUAUGUAUAACAAGAGCAAUGUGUGUACAGAAAUGAAAUAGUUUCACUCGUGAAGAAUCAACUAAACUGUACUGUUGUGGUUGCAUGUGCCUUCCACUUGUUGCUGAUCAUUGCAUUAUCACCUUGACCAGGCGUAUACUAAAAACGCCUUAGCUGUGUACUGUUGUACGUUCGGUAUGUUGACACGUGAGGAUAGUUCUGUUUGAAGCAGUUGCUGCUCGCUUGAAAUUGUGGCACUUCGACGCUAACCGUAGUUAGAAAGUUAAAUUAAUUUAUUCUUGCGUUAGGUACUGUGCCUCUAUGAUUCUUUUCAGCAGGAAACUUCCGCUAACAUUGCGGCCAAAGUAGUUGCUUGUUUGUUGAAUCUCGUGGCAUCUUUGUGGUUUUUAGUGAUUGCUAAAUGCAUACUUUUGGCGAGAGAAGACGGAGGGCGUCACUUUCUCACGUUAAAUGCAACCUGAGCAUGCACAGCUCCUCCUCUUUUUUGACUUCUGCGACUUCAUGGCUAGACGAGACGUACGACUAAAAUGGACGCUUUUUUGCAACUUGUACGUGUGUUUCUGAGAAGAGUACGCGACUUGCUAGAGUUUGAGGGAGGACAGCAACAACACGAUCACUGGGAAGAUUGCUGUCUUGAAGGGGAAAGGCUGUACAGACACCUUAUACGUAUAGUAGAAGCAGGGGAAGGAAAUAUGCGCCCUCUAACCGUUUCUCUAGGUGCCUUGAUUGAGAUCAUUGCAGUGGUUUCGCACUUGUCUGAAGAAGAGCAGCCUAGGUAUACAGUGGAGGCGGUACAAUGCGGUGGAAGAGGAAGACCGAGGCUUGGCAUUGGACGAGAUCAAUUGGUCUUUUUACUUGACCACGAUUUUGCAGUUACCGACAUAUGUGAUCUUUUUGGCGUGUCUAGAAGCACGAUUCAAAGAAGACUGCGAGAAUGGGGCAUACAAGUAUGCCAGCGAUUCAGUAGAAUUUCUGAUGCAGAGUUGGACAGGCUAGUCACAGAAGUGAAAUGUGAUUUCCCUGACGCUGGCUAUCGCUUAGUACAGGGACACUUGCGCUCAAGGGGCUACAGUGUUCAGCAACAUAGAGUGAGAUUGUCUGUAGCACGUGUUGAUCCAGAAGGAGUAGCUGAGAGGUGGGCUAGAUCUAUACCGAGAAGAGUGUAUAGGGUUCGUGGACCAAACGCUCUCUGGCACAUCGACGGAAAUCACAAGCUCAUAAGGUAUCGAUUUGUAAUACAUGCAGGCAUUGAUGGAUUUAGCAGACUGCCAGUGUAUUGCAAGUGCUCAACUAACAAUCGAGCAUCCACUGUUUUCAGUGUUUUAUAGAAGCAGUUGCACGUUAUGGUGUGCCCUCAAGAGUGAGAUCAGACAAAGGUGGUGAAAAUGUAGAGGUUUCUCUCUAUAUGCUGCAACGUCGAGGCACUGGAAGAGGAAGUAUGAUAACUGGUUCAAGUGUCCACAAUCAGAGAGUAGAAAGAUUUUGGAGAGACUUGUUUGAAGGCUGUACUUUUCUAUUCUACUUUCUAUUUCGCAAUAUGGAGAUAAUGAAUCUACUAGAUCCUACAAAUGAGACACACCAUCAGUACUGCAGGAAACAGAAGUCCAUUGCAGUUGUGGAUAGAAGGAAUGUUAAGAGGUGCUUCUUUGGAUGAGUUGGAAGACUUGCAAGAGGUUGAAGACUUGGAUCAAUAUGGCAUAGAUGGCAAUGGUCCUGUACCUCUUGAUGGGCUCCAAGACCAAACAGUGGUUGUUCCUGAAACCAUUUCAGAGCUGAGUCAAGCUGAUCUCAAUGCUUUGCAAUUGCACGUGAACCCGCUAGAAUUUUCGGAUUGUCAUGGCACUGAUUUGUAUGUUCGUGCUCGUGAAUUUGUUCAAGAUGUAUUUUUGUAAAAGUAUCAUUAUAUUCUUUGUGC
Molecule: RNA transcript, 2334 nt
Organism: Corticium candelabrum
Lineage: Eukaryota; Metazoa; Porifera; Homoscleromorpha; Homosclerophorida; Plakinidae
Exons: 5
Source: RefSeq, a predicted model, not a curated record